This 497-nucleotide ribosomal RNA is filed under the name uncultured bacterium. Its description in RNAcentral is "partial 16S ribosomal RNA". It matches the Rfam family "Bacterial small subunit ribosomal RNA", at positions 28 to 507 of the family's 1533-position model. The record is from RNAcentral.
GAUGAACGCUGGCGGCGUGCCUAAUACAUGCAAGUCGAGCGAACAGACGAGGAGCUUGCUCCUCUGACGUUAGCGGAGGACGGGUGAGUAACACGAGGAUAACCUACCUAUAAGACUGGGAUAACUUCGGGAAACCGGAGCUAAUACCGGAUAAUAUAUUGAACCGCAUGGGUCAAUAGUGAAAGACGGCUUUGCGGGCACGUAUAGAUGGAUCCGCGCCGCAUUAGCUAGUUGGUAAGGUAACGGCUUACCAAGGCGACGAUGCGUAGCCGACCUGAGAGGGUGAUCGGCCACACUGGAACGGAGACACGGUCCAGACUCCUACGGGAGGCAGCAGUAGGGAAUCUUCCGCAAUGGGCGAAAGCCUGACGGAGCAACGCCGCGUGAGUGAUGAAGGUCUUCGGAUCGUAAAACUCUGUUAUUAGGGAAGAACAAAUGUGUAAGUAACUAUGCACGUCUUGACGGUACCUAAUCAGAAAGCCACGGCUAACUACGUG